CCUACGGGAGGCAGCAGUGGGGAAUCUUGCGCAAUGGGCGAAAGCCUGACGCAGCCAUGCCGCGUGAAUGAUGAAGGUCUUAGGAUUGUAAAAUUCUUUCACCGGGGACGAUAAUGACGGUACCCGGAGAAGAAGCCCCGGCUAACUUCGUGCCAGCAGCCGCGGUAAUACGAAGGGGGCUAGCGUUGCUCGGAAUUACUGGGCGUAAAGGGAGCGUAGGCGGAUAGUUUAGUCAGAGGUGAAAGCCCAGGGCUCAACCUUGGAAUUGCCUUUGAUACUGGCUAUCUUGAGUGUGGGAGAGGUAUGUGGAACUCCGAGUGUAGAGGUGAAAUUCGUAGAUAUUCGGAAGAACACCAGUGGCGAAGGCGACAUACUGGCCCAUUACUGACGCUGAGGCUCGAAAGCGUGGGGAGCAAACAGGAUUAGAUACCCUGGUAGUCCACGCUGUAAACGAUGAGUGCUAGUUGUCGGCAGGCAUGCUGUCGGUGACGCAGCUACGCAUUAAGCACUCCGCCGUCGGGGAGGUACGGUCGCGAAGAAUUAAAACGUUAAAAGGUAAGUUAGACGGCGUGAGACGUCGCCGACGGACGACGACGAGGGAGGUUAGG
RNAcentral lists this ribosomal RNA (608 nucleotides) under uncultured bacterium. Its description in RNAcentral is "bacterial SSU rRNA". The stretch from base 1 to 515 matches the Rfam family "Bacterial small subunit ribosomal RNA", at positions 338 to 873 of the family's 1533-position model. The record is from RNAcentral.